Molecule: ribosomal RNA, 519 nt
Filed under: uncultured eukaryote
Lineage: Eukaryota
Description: partial 18S ribosomal RNA
Rfam family: Eukaryotic small subunit ribosomal RNA
Source: RNAcentral
AGGGCACCACCAGGAGUGGAGCCUGCGGCUUAAUUUGACUCAACACGGGAAAACUCCCCCGGCCCGGACACUGGAAGGAUUGAGAUAUUGAGAGCUUUUUUUUGAUUCAGUGGGUGGUGGUGCGUGGCCGUUCUUAGUUGGGGGAGCGAUUUGUCUGGUUAAUUCCUAUAACGAACGACACUCUAGCCUAUUAAAUAGACUGCGGGGCCUUAAGCCCCCUACUUCUUUCUUAAAGGGACGGGGGGCACCCAAGCCGCAUUAAAAAAAAAAAUAACAGGUCUGUGAUGCCCUUAGAGGGGCGGGGCCCCACGCUACCCUACACUGAAGUGAUCAGCGUGAUUUUUUGCCCUACUCUGUUGGGAGAGCGUAACCCCAUUGAACCUGCUCCGUAUCUGGGAUUGGGAUUUGUUAUUUUGCACCUUGAAUUAGGAAUUCGCGUGAGGCGCGAGUUAUCAUUUAUUGUUUCUUAGCUCUCUGCCCUUUGUACACGUCGCCGGUCGCUACUACCGAUUGAAUGUU